UGGUGGAGUGAUUUGUCUGGUUGAUUCCGUUAACGAACGAGAUCUCGACCCUUAAAUAGGCUGCCCUUCGUUUCGGUCUGUCUUCCUUCGGGAUAUAUGUCAGACUUAGAAGGUAAGCUACUUCUUAAGGGGACUGCGUGCGUCUUUAGUACGCGGAAGAGCGAGCCAAUAGCA
This 174-nucleotide ribosomal RNA is filed under the name uncultured eukaryote. Its description in RNAcentral is "partial 18S ribosomal RNA". It matches the Rfam family "Eukaryotic small subunit ribosomal RNA", at positions 1299 to 1458 of the family's 1831-position model. The record is from RNAcentral.